ACGUGAGUAACCUGCCCCUCACUCUGGGAUAAUCCUGGGAAACUGGGUCUAAUACUGGAUACGACCGAUCUCCGCAUGGAGUGUUGGUGGAAAGUUUUUGUGGUGGGGGAUGGACUCGCGGCCUAUCAGCUUGUUGGUGGGGUAAUGGCCUACCAAGGCGACGACGGGUAGCCGGCCUGAGAGGGCGACCGGCCACACUGGGACUGAGACACGGCCCAGACUCCUACGGGAGGCAGCAGUGGGGAAUAUUGCACAAUGGGCGAAAGCCUGAUGCAGCGACGCCGCGUGAGGGAUGACGGCCUUCGGGUUGUAAACCUCUUUCACCAGGGACGAAGCUAACGUGACGGUACCUGGAGAAGAAGCACCGGCUAACUACGUGCCAGCAGCCGCGGUAAUACGUAGGGUGCGAGCGUUGUCCGGAAUUAUUGGGCGUAAAGAGCUUGUAGGCGGUUUGUCGCGUCUGCUGUGAAAGACCGGGGUCUUAACUCCGGUUCUGCAGUGGGUACGGGCAGACUAGAGUGUGGUAGGGGAGACUGGGAAUUCCUGGUGUAGCGGGUGAAAUGCGCAGAUAUCAGGAGGAACACCGAUGGCGAAGGGCAGUGUCUCUGGGCUCAUUUACUGACGCUGAAAAGCCGAAAGCAUUGGGGGAGCGAACAGGGAUUAGAAUACCCCUGGGUAGUCCAUGCCCGUUAA
This 693-nucleotide ribosomal RNA is filed under the name Dermacoccus nishinomiyaensis. Its description in RNAcentral is "bacterial SSU rRNA". It matches the Rfam family "Bacterial small subunit ribosomal RNA", at positions 115 to 806 of the family's 1533-position model. The record is from RNAcentral. Lineage: Bacteria; Bacillati; Actinomycetota; Actinomycetes; Micrococcales; Dermacoccaceae.